This is a ribosomal RNA of Macadamia integrifolia, 3361 nucleotides long. The record is from RefSeq and is a predicted model, not a curated record. NCBI's taxonomy places the organism in Eukaryota, Viridiplantae, Streptophyta, Magnoliopsida, Proteales, Proteaceae.
UGACCCCAGGUUAGGCGGGGCUACCCGCUAAGUUUAAGCAUAUCAAUAAGCGGAGGACAAUAAACUUACGAGGACUCCCUUAGUAACAGCGAGCGAACCGAGAAGAUCCAGCUUGAGAAUCGGGUGGCUUUAUCGUUUGAAUUGUAGUCUGUAGAAGCGUCCUCAGUGGUAGACAGGGCCCAAGUCCCCUGGAAGGGGGUGCCAGAGAGGGUGAGAGCCCCAUCAUGUCUAGACCUUAUCACACCACGAGGCACUAUCGGCGAGUCGGGUUGUUUGGGAAUGCAGCCCCAAUUGAGUGGUAAAUUUCGUCCAAGGCUAAAUAUGGGCGAGAGACUGAUAACAAACAAGUACCGCAAGGGAAAGAUGAAAAGGACUUUGAAAAGAGAGUCAAAGAAUGCUUGAAAUUGUCAGGAGAGAAGUGGAUGGGGGCCGGUGAUGCAUCUCAGACGGAUGUGGAACAGUUAAUAGCCGCUUCAUCGGUCGACUCGAGGCGUGGACUGAUGUGGAUUGCGAUGGCAUCCCAAGCCCAGGUUGUCACGUUAUACCUGAGGAGAUGUCGUCGCUGCGAUCAUGGUAGGCAGUGUGCGCCUGGAUGGUAUGCCUAUUGGCAAUUGCAUGCUUCGAGCAUCAGCCUGUCGGGAUCCUCAUUUGACCUGUCUUGAAACACGGACAAAGGAGUCUGACAUGUGUGCGAGUCAAUGGGCGAGCAAAACCCGUAAGGUGUAAGGAAGCUGACUGGUGGGAUCCCCUUGUGGGUUGCCCACCGACCAACCUUGGUCUACUAUGAAGGGUUUGAGUGAGCGCAUACCUGUCGGGACCCGAAAGAUGGUGAACUAUGCUUGAGUGGGGAGAAGCCAGAGGAAAUUCUGGUGGAGGCCUGCAGUGAUGCUGACAUGCAAAUCGUUCAUCUGACUUGGGUAUAGGGGCCAAAGACUAAUCAAACUGUCUAAUAGUUGGUUCCCUCCGAAGUUUCCCUCAGGAUAGUUAAAACCCACGGGCGAGUUUUAUCGGGUAAAGCCAAUGAUUAGUGGCAUCGCGGGCACAACGCCCUCGACCUAUUCUCAAACUUUAAAUAGGUAGGAUGGCAUGGCUACUUUAUUGAGCCGCGCCAUGGAAUCAAGAUCUCCAAGUGGGCCAUUUUUGGUAAGCAGAACUGGUGAUGCGGAAUGAACCGAAAGCCGGGUUAUGGUGCCAGAUUGCACACUAACCAAGAACCAACAAAGGAUGUUGGUCGAUUAAGAUAGCAGGACGGUGGUCAUGGAAGUCAAAAUUCGCUAAGGAGUGUGUAACAACUCACCUGCCAAAUCAACUAGCCCCCAAAAAUGGAUGGUACUAAAGCGCGUAACCUAUACCUGAUCGUCGGGGCAACUGCCAAGCCCAAAUGAGCAUGAGGGCACGGCGAUUGUCGUAAAACUUGGGGCGUGAGUGGCCGUCGGUGCAGAUCUUGGUGGUAGUAGCAAAUAUUCAAAUGAGAACUUUGAAGGCCGAAUAGGGGAAAGGUUCCUUGUGAACGGCACUUGCACAUGGGUUAGUCGAUCCUAAGGGAUGGGGGAAGCCCGUCAGAGAGCGUGUACUCAUGCAUGCUCUGAAAGGUAAUCGGGUUAAAAUUCCCAAAUCGGUACGUGGCGGUUGACGUCAACGUUAGGAAGUCUAGAGAUGUUGGCGGGGGCCUCGGGAAGAGUUAUCUUUUCUGUUUAACAGCUUGCCCACUCUGGAAAGAGCACCACACAUCGCGUGGUGUCCGGUGUGCCCCCAACAGCCCUUGAAAAUUCAAAGAACCGAGUGUCGAUCAUGCCCAGUCGUACUCAUAACCGCAUCAGGUCUCCAAGGUGAACAACCUCUGGUCGAUGGAACAAUGUAGGCAAAGGAAGUCAGAAAAAUGGAUCUGUAACCUCGGGAAAAGGAUUGGCUCUGAGGGUUUGGCACGGGGGUCCCAUUCUCGAACCCGUCGACUGUCAGCGGACUGCUCGAGCUACCUUCACAGUGAGAGUGGGUCACCACAUGCCGAUCGGGGGAUGGACUGGGAAUGGCCCCCUCAUGGGCCUUCUCCGGGCAUCAAACAAUCAACUCAGAACUAGUACGGACAAGGGGAUUCUGACUAUUUAAUUAAAACAAAGCAUUGCGAUGGUCCCAACUGAUGCUCACGCAAAGUGAUUUCUACCCAGUGCUCUAAAUGUCAAAGUGAAGAAAUUCAACCAAGCUCGGGGAAAAUGGCAGGAGUAACUAUGACUCUCUUAAGGUAGGCAAAUGCCUUGUCAUCUAAUUAGUGACGCACAUAAAUGGAUUAAUGAGAUUCCCACUAUCCCUGUCUACUAUCCAGCGAAACCACAGCCAAGGGAAUGGGCUUGGCAGAAUCAGAGGGGAAAGAAGACCUUGUUGAGCUUGACUCUAGUCUGACUUUGUGAAAUGACUUGACAGGUGUAGGAUAAGUGGGAGCUAGAAAUGGCAUAAGUGAAAUACCACUACUUUUAACGUUAUUUUACUUACUCCGUGAGUCGGAGGUGGGGCUCUGCCCCUCCUUUUGGACCCAAGCCCCCCCUUAGCGGGGCGAUCCAAGCAGAGGACAUUGUCAGGUGGGGAGUUUGGCUAGGGUGGCACAUCUGUUAAAAGAUAACACAGGUGUCCUAAGAUGAGCUCAACGAGAACAUAAAUCUCGUAUGGAACAAAAGGGUAAAAGCUCGUUUGAUUCUGAUUUCCAGUAUGAAUACGAACUGUGAAAGUGUGGCCUAUCGAUCCUUUAGACCUUCGGAAUUUGAAGCUAGAGGUGUCAGAAAAGUUACCACAGGGAUAACUGGCUUGUGGCAGCCAAGCGUUCAUAGCGACAUUGCUUUUUGAUACUUCGAUGUCGGCUCUUCCUAUCAUUGUGAACCAGAAGUCACCAAGUGUUGGAUUGUUCACCCACCAAUAGGGAACGUGAGCUAGGUUUAAACUGUCAUGAGAUAGGUUAGUUUUACCCUACUAAUGUCAGUGUCGAAUUAGUAAUUCAACCUAAUACGAGAGGAACCAUUGAUUCACAUAAUUGGUCAUCAUGCUUGGUUGAAAAUUUAGUGGCGCAAAGCUGCCAUGCGCCGGAUUAUGACUGAACGCCUCUAAGUCAGAAUCCAAGCUAAAGAAGCGACACCUAUGCCUAUUGCUCAUUUGCCAACCCGCAGUAGGGGCCCUCCGGCCCUUAGAGGCACGUGUCAUUAGCCAAGCCCCCGCAGUGGACGUGUUAUAUGGGCUGCCUUGAAGAGUAAUUCCUGUCGGGUGAUGGGUAGAGUCCUUUGCAAAUGACUUAAAUACACGACGGGGUAUUGUAAGUGGCAGAGUGGCCUUGCUGCCACGAUCCACUGAGAUUCAGCCCUGUGUCGCAUCGAUUCGU